RNAcentral lists this ribosomal RNA (492 nucleotides) under uncultured bacterium. Its description in RNAcentral is "partial 16S ribosomal RNA". It matches the Rfam family "Bacterial small subunit ribosomal RNA", at positions 29 to 507 of the family's 1533-position model. The record is from RNAcentral.
AGUGAACGCUGGCGGUAGGCCUAACACAUGCAAGUCGAACGGCAGCACAGUAAGAGCUUGCUCUUACGGGUGGCGAGUGGCGGACGAGUGAGGAAUACAGCGGAAUCUACUUUUUCGUGGGGGAUAACGUAGGGAAACGUACGCUAAUACCGCAUACGACCUACGGGUGAAAGCAGGGGAUCUUCGGACCUUGCGCGAUUGAAUGAGCCGAUGUCGGAUUAGCUAGUUGGCGGGGUAAAGGCCCACCAAGGCGACGAUCCGUAGCUGGUCUGAGAGGAUGAUCAGCCACACUGGAACUGAGACACGGUCCAGACUCCUACGGGAGGCAGCAGUGGGGAAUAUUGGACAAUGGGCGCAAGCCUGAUCCAGCCAUACCGCGUGGGUGAAGAAGGCCUUCGGGUUGUAAAGCCCUUUUGUUGGGAAAGAAAAGCAGCAGGUUAAUACCCCGCUGUUCUGACGGUACCCAAAGAAUAAGCACCGGCUAACUUCGUG